UACGAAGGGGGGCUAGCGUUGCUCGGAAUCACUGGGCGUAAAGCGCACGUAGGCGGAUUGUUAAGUCAGGGGUGAAAUCCUGGAGCUCAACUCCAGAACUGCCUUUGAUACUGACGGUCUUGAGUCCGGGAGAGGUGAGUGGAACUCCGAGUGUAGAGGUGAAAUUCGUAGAUAUUCAGAAGAACACCAGUGGCGAAGGCGGCUCACUGGCCCGGUACUGACGCUGAGGUGCGAAAGCGUGGGGAGCAAACAGG
RNAcentral lists this ribosomal RNA (254 nucleotides) under uncultured bacterium. RNAcentral describes it as "partial 16S ribosomal RNA". It matches the Rfam family "Bacterial small subunit ribosomal RNA", at positions 524 to 776 of the family's 1533-position model. The record is from RNAcentral.